RNAcentral lists this unclassified non-coding RNA (1625 nucleotides) under Hevea brasiliensis (rubber tree). The record is from RNAcentral. Lineage: Eukaryota; Viridiplantae; Streptophyta; Magnoliopsida; Malpighiales; Euphorbiaceae.
GUAACCUUUCAAUUUCAGAUCAAAGUUGAAAUUUUCGUUUGACAAUUGGAAAAUUCAUCUGCAUCAACACAGCAUAUCAAUUAAUAACUGGUCAGGUUUCACACAUGAAAUUAAAGAUUCAUUUGCAUUGCAUAUGAAAGUACUCUUUUCAGCAUUCUGGACAGAAACAAACGUCUAAACAUUGACUAAAAGUUUCAAGAAUACUGGAUCCAAUCAACAGUUCAUCAUUUAGUCUCGCUCGCUUAUAGCAGUCAAGUGCUCAUCAAUCUCCUCAGUGGACAACAUUCUGAAGUCGGGGUUCUCCUUCCUCACCACUCCAACCUCAAUCUCAGUGGCCUUAAAAUCCUCCUGUAGAACUGAUUGCAGGGCAGAGAUUGCAGUCUAUACAUGAAAGCAAUGCAAUGACAUGAGACUUUAGAGGGAAGAAUCAUGAAGAAUAUAAUUGCAUGCUAUGUUGACUAGACUAUUUUAAGUGGUAUAAUGCUCAGUCUAAACAAGGCAUAUUAUAAAUAGAUCUCCAACAUGAAUGUGUGGUGAUUGACCCCAUUCCUUCAGUUUCUUUCAUCGUCAGCACUUAGUAGCAGAAAGACAAACUGUAACAAGAUGCAUGCAAGCAUAUGUGCGUGCAGCAUGCAUGCAAGCAUAUGUGCACUUGUGUUUAUGUAGAAAGAUGCAUGCACAUGAAAAAUUAGCACCUCAAAACAAGACAUCAAAAAAUAAAGACCCAUCAAAUAUCAAGCAUUAAUCUUGAGUCUAGAAGUUCUGUAGUUCAUUUCCCAAAGUUACAUGACUAGAAAUGGCUGUCAAAUCAUUUUCUAUUCAUGGAAUGAUGGCAAUUGUUGAAACAAGACAAUAAGACAACUGUGCCUGUGAUUGGAUUGGACUAACUAAAUGACAAAUAAAAUCAAUAUGGUGCGGAAAUCUAUACAUUCAUUAAAAAAAAAAAAACUUGGGAGUCAAAAACUCUCAUAUAAGAAUAUAAUUCCAUUUUGAUUUUAUGAAUGCUUGAGCAAAAAGGCAAAUAAGUUGAACCAGCCAAUUAUUCACGUCAUUGAUCAUGAUAAACAGUAACAUCAGUGCUUUUCAGAAAAGGAAAAACUUAAUAAUCUGCAGAUUUUGCUCGUGACCAAAGCAUAGAAAACUGAUAAAAUAGGAGUAAGAACUUCAGCCUAAUCAUACGGGAGUAGUGAUUUCAGCCACAUCAUAAUUCUUACAAAUAUGAAGUACUAGAAACUACCUGCACUGUUUCCUCGUAGGUAAAUUGAGGAUCAUUCUUCAUUUUCUUCUCCAAGAAAUUAAUUGCUUCUUGUUCUUUUAAUCCUGCACUUGUAGCCUAAACAAUUGAACUUAUUUCUUAGGCAUGAAAUUUUACUUCAGUAAAGGUAGAGACAGGGAGGAAAAGCUGCAGCCAUUUCAGAACAGUUGAAUAAUAGUAAUAUACAUCAAUGCUGUUACAUUCAAUAAUUUAAAUUGGGCAGGCAAGUGCUGGACAAACAUAUUCAUAAAGCAUCCAUAACUCUCCCGGUGAAUGUGAAAUGAUCAAUUAGUAACUCGCAAAGAAAGUAAACUAAAUCUGCUAAUUAAAUUCUCGAACAACAGGUGAUUAUGACCAAACAAUUGCAGUG